CAGCGCCGCGGUAAUACGUAGGGUGCAAGCGUUAAUCGGAAUUACUGGGCGUAAAGCGUGCGCAGGCGGUUUGUUAAGACAGAUGUGAAAUCCCCGGGCUCAACCUGGGAACUGCAUUUGUGACUGGCAAGCUAGAGUGUGGCAGAGGGGGGUGGAAUUCCGCGUGUAGCAGUGAAAUGCGUAGAUAUGCGGAGGAACACCGAUGGCGAAGGCAGCCCCCUGGGCCAACACUGACGCUCAUGCACGAAAGCGUGGGGAGCAAACAGGAUUAGAUACCCCCGUAGUCCCUGUCUCUUAUACA
RNAcentral lists this ribosomal RNA (301 nucleotides) under uncultured bacterium. RNAcentral's name for it is "partial 16S ribosomal RNA". It matches the Rfam family "Bacterial small subunit ribosomal RNA", at positions 509 to 808 of the family's 1533-position model. The record is from RNAcentral.